Molecule: ribosomal RNA, 364 nt
Filed under: uncultured bacterium
Lineage: Bacteria
Description: bacterial SSU rRNA
Rfam family: Bacterial small subunit ribosomal RNA
Source: RNAcentral
GAGUUUGAUCGUGGCUCAGAUUGAACGCUGGCGGCAGGCCUAACACAUGCAAGUCGAGCGGUAGAGAGAAGCUUGCUUCUCUUGAGAGCGGCGGACGGGUGAGUAAUGCCUAGGAAUCUGCCUGGUAGUGGGGGAUAACGCUCGGAAACGGACGCUAAUACCGCAUACGUCCUACGGGAGAAAGCAGGGGACCUUCGGGCCUUGCGCUAUCAGAUGAGCCUAGGUCGGAUUAGCUAGUUGGUGAGGUAAUGGCUCACCAAGGCGACGAUCCGUAACUGGUCUGAGAGGAUGAUCAGUCACACUGGAACUGAGACACGGUCCAGACUCCUACGGGAGGCAGCAGUGGGGAAUAUUGGACAAUGGG